UACAGAGGUCCCAAGCGUUGUUCGGAUUCACUGGGCGUAAAGGGUGCGUAGGUGGCCAGGUAAGUUCGGUGUGAAAGCUCGGAGCUUAACUCCGAAAUGGCAUUGAAUACUAUCUGGCUAGAGGGUCGGAGGGGAGACUGGAAUUCUCGGUGUAGCAGUGAAAUGCGUAGAUAUCGUAAGGAAGACCAGUGGCGAAGGCGGGUCUCUGGACAGUUCCUGACGCUGAGGCACGAAGGUCAGGGGAGCAAACGGG
This 253-nucleotide ribosomal RNA is filed under the name uncultured bacterium. RNAcentral's name for it is "partial 16S ribosomal RNA". It matches the Rfam family "Bacterial small subunit ribosomal RNA", at positions 524 to 776 of the family's 1533-position model. The record is from RNAcentral.